UAAGGAAGGGGCUAGCGUUGUUCGGAAUUACUGGGCGUAAAGAGCGCGUAGGCGGCUUACAAAGUUGGGGGUGAAAUCCCGGAGCUCAACUCCGGAACUGCCUUCAAAACUGGUAGGCUCGAGUCCGGAAGAGGGGCGUGGAAUUCCCAGUGUAGAGGUGAAAUUCGUAGAUAUUGGGAAGAACACCGGUGGCGAAGGCGGCGCCGUGGUCCGGUACUGAUGCUGAUGCGCGAAAGCGUGUGGAGCAAACAGG
Molecule: ribosomal RNA, 253 nt
Filed under: uncultured bacterium
Lineage: Bacteria
Description: partial 16S ribosomal RNA
Rfam family: Bacterial small subunit ribosomal RNA
Source: RNAcentral